Molecule: long non-coding RNA, 1235 nt
Organism: Strongylocentrotus purpuratus (purple sea urchin)
Lineage: Eukaryota; Metazoa; Echinodermata; Echinoidea; Camarodonta; Strongylocentrotidae
Exons: 3
Source: RefSeq, a predicted model, not a curated record
CUGAUAGCAAGCUGUGAGAAGACCCCAUUCUUCCCUCUCUGUCUGCCUGUCUGCUUUGCUUUCGUGUGAAUGAAAGUCAGCCAAGAGCGUCAGAUUCUCUCUGACAGUCGUGAAGCUGACACAGAUAUUAAAAUCAAUUUUCGCGGAACUUAGACUACAAGUAGGCCCUUGCAUACAUAUAGAUACAUGUGGGCCCUUCUUUCUUAUAACAUCUUGAUGCUACCAUUCACUAAGAGCCAGAAGGGCAUUAGCUCUAACACAUAUUAAUACCCUCCUUGGCUCUCACCAUAUACAGAUGAGUUAGAGUAUCACAAACACAGAUGAUGUACCAUGGGCAAACCAUCAGUAUGCAGACUUGGACUGACAUACUAUUAUGAUGGAAAUUAUGGAAAUCAGCUACUCCAUGAGAGGAUGAAAUAACAUUGUAGUCAUUUUGUGUAUUGGAACAAAUGGGAAAGUUGUCUGGCACUUCAUCAAAGUGACACUACAGAUAUAGCAAAUUUGAAGUGCCAUACGUAUAGUGAUUACAACUUUUAAAAAAAUCAUAACUUUCAUAUUUGUUUGCCCAAUUUCAUUCAAACUUUCACCAGUCUGCUUUUCUGAUUUGUCUGCUCUCUUUAAGAAAAGUUCACUAUUAAUUUUAGGUUGGAUUUCCCUUUAACCUUCAAUUAUUUUUUCCAUGUGCCCCAUUAAGUAUAUUCAUCAAAAAUUAGUUUAAAGAGGGAAGGAGAAUGAACUUAGGCCAACAAAAGAGAAAUUAAUAUCCUCAACUCCUUGCCUCUAGGGACGUUUUCUGCGGCCUUUUCAGACCAAUAGGAGCAGAAAAAUUAGUUUGCCUUUUGUGGCUAUGUUGGUCUGCUCGAUACGUAUUUGAGGUCUUACAAUACCCAGCUAAUUAUCAAACUGGUCCCCUGUGUACUGUAUGUUGUGUGUGUGUGUGUGUGUGUGUGUGUGCAUAGCAUGGAAUCGUAACAUACAGAAAUUAACGGGUCAUUUACGAUGGUAUUUUACUAAUCAAUAUCAUAGUGAACUGGACGAAUGUGGACUGAAAAGAUGACCAUGGUCUGCUGAGUGCCAGAAGGGCAUUAGCCCAUAUCAUGUUACAUAGAGGUACAUUAGUGCCCUUCUGGCUUUUAAUAUAUGGCAAUGAAUAAAUACUAGAAGGAGCUUGCAAAGGAGAAAGCUUUGAAGAGGGUGGUAAUUGGAAGGGAAACACAAAAAAAUAUCAAACACAA